UUCUUAUUUUUAGCUCACCUGGCCCGAAGGGCCAAGUGAGCUUUUCCCAUCACUUUGCGUCCGGCGUCCGUCGUCCUGCGUCCGUCGUCCGUCGUCCUGCGUCCGUCGUCGUUAACUUUUACAAAAAUCUUCUCCUCUGAAACUACUGGGCCAAAUUAAACCAAACUUGGCCACAAUCAUCAUUGGGGUAUCUAGUUUAAAAAAUGUGUCCGGUGACCCGGCCAACCAACCAAGAUGGCCGCCAUGGCUAAAAAUAGAACAUAGGGGUAAAAUGCAGUUUUUUGCUUAUAACUCAAAAACCAAAGCAUUUAGAGCAAAUCUGACAAGGGUAAAAUUGUUGAUCAGGUCAAUAUCUAUCUGUCCUGAAAUUUUCAGAUAAAUUGGGCAACCCGUUGUUGGGUUGCUGCCCCUGAAUUGGUAAUUUUAAGGAAAUUUUGCUGUUUUUUGUUAUUAUCUUGAAUAUUAUUAUAGAUAGAGAUAAAUUAUAAACAGCAAUAAUGUUCAGCAAAGUAAGAUCUACAAAUAAGCUGUCAUGACCGAAAUGGUCAGUUAACCCCUUAAGGCGUUAUUUCCCUUUAUAGUCAAUUUUUAACCAUUUUUCAUAAAUCUUAGUAAUCUUUUACAAAAAUCUUCUCCUCUGAAACUUUUGGGCCAAAUUAAUCCAAACUUGGCCACAAUCAUCAUUGAGGUAUUUAGUUUGAAAAAUGUGUCCGGUGACCCGGUCAUCUAACCAAGAUGGCCGCCACGGCUAAAAAUAGAACAUAGGGGUAAAAUGAAGAUUUUGGCUGAUAACUGAAACCAAAGCAUUUAGAGCAUAUCUGACAUUAGUAAAAUUGUUUAUCAGGUCAAGAUUUAUCUGCCCUAAAAUUUUCAGAUGAAUUGGACAACAAUUGUUGUUUGGUUGCUGCUGCCGAAAUUAAUCAACAGCACAAGAUCUAAAACUUAAUAAAUAUUGUUCAAAAUAUCAAUUAUCUAUUAAAAGAUGUUUUUGGCCAUUAAAAAAAUAAAGUUCUUCAUUUUAUC
This 1023-nucleotide long non-coding RNA is filed under the name Mytilus galloprovincialis (Mediterranean mussel). Lineage: Eukaryota; Metazoa; Mollusca; Bivalvia; Mytilida; Mytilidae. The record is from RNAcentral.